Molecule: long non-coding RNA, 401 nt
Organism: Oncorhynchus tshawytscha (Chinook salmon)
Lineage: Eukaryota; Metazoa; Chordata; Actinopteri; Salmoniformes; Salmonidae
Source: Ensembl
GUGGUGGUGGAGGUGGAGAAGAGGAGAUGUGUUAUCUGUGGGGGUGGUGGUGGUAGUGGUGGUGGUAGGGGUGGAGAAGAGGAGAUGUGUUAUCUGUGGUGGUGGAGGUGGUGGUAGUGGUGGUGGUGGGGAAGAGGAGAUGUGUUAUCUGUGGUGGAGGUGGUGGUAGUGGUGGUGGUGGGGGUGGAGAAGAGGAGAUGUGUUAUCUGUGGUGGUGGUAGUGGUGGUGGUGGUGGAGGUGGAGAAGAGGAGAUGUUUUAUCUGUGGUGGUGGUGGAGGUGGUGGUAGUGGUGGUGGUGGAGGUGGAGAAGAGGAGAUGUGUUAUCUGUGGUGGUAGUGGUGGUGGUGGAGGUGGAGAAGAGGAGAUGUGUUAUCUGUGGUGGAUGUGGUGGUAGUGGUGG